Small nuclear RNA from Acinonyx jubatus (cheetah), 104 nucleotides. NCBI's taxonomy places the organism in Eukaryota, Metazoa, Chordata, Mammalia, Carnivora, Felidae. The record is from RefSeq and is a predicted model, not a curated record.
GUGCUCGCUUUGGCAGCACAUACACUAAAAUUGGAAUGAUACAGAGAUUAGCAUGGCCCCUGAGCAAGGAUGCCAUGCAAAUUUGUGAAGUGUUCCAUAUUUUU